RNAcentral lists this ribosomal RNA (447 nucleotides) under uncultured bacterium. Its description in RNAcentral is "bacterial SSU rRNA". It matches the Rfam family "Bacterial small subunit ribosomal RNA", at positions 28 to 458 of the family's 1533-position model. The record is from RNAcentral.
GAUGAACGCUGGCGGCGUGCUUAACACAUGCAAGUCGAACGGGAAACCUUUUAUUGAGGCUUCGGCAGAUUUAGCUGGUUUCUAGUGGCGGACGGGUGAGUAACGCGUGGGUAACCUGCCUUAUACAGGGGGAUAACAACCAGAAAUGGUUGCUAAUACCGCAUAAGCGCACAGGACCGCAUGGUCCGGUGUGAAAAACUCCGGUGGUAUAAGAUGGACCCGCGUUGGAUUAGCUAGUUGGCAGGGUAACGGCCUACCAAGGCGACGAUCCAUAGCCGGCCUGAGAGGGUGAACGGCCACAUUGGGACUGAGACACGGCCCAGACUCCUACGGGAGGCAGCAGUGGGGAAUAUUGCACAAUGGGGGAAACCCUGAUGCAGCGACGCCGCGUGAAGGAAGAAGUAUCUCGGUAUGUAAACUUCUAUCAGCAGGGAAGAUAGUGACGGU